UGGGGAAUUUUGGACAAUGGGCGAAAGCCUGAUCCAGCAAUGCCGCGUGUGUGAAGAAGGCCUUCGGGUUGUAAAGCACUUUUGUCCGGAAAGAAAUCCUUGGCUCUAAUACAGUCGGGGGAUGACGGUACCGGAAGAAUAAGCACCGGCUAACUACGUGCCAGCAGCCGCGGUAAUACGUAGGGUGCAAGCGUUAAUCGGAAUUACUGGGCGUAAAGCGUGCGCAGGCGGUUUGCUAAGACCGAUGUGAAAUCCCCGGGCUCAACCUGGGAACUGCAUUGGUGACUGGCAGGCUAGAGUAUGGCAGAGGGGGGUAGAAUUCCACGUGUAGCAGUGAAAUGCGUAGAGAUGUGGAGGAAUACCGAUGGCGAAGGCAGCCCCCUGGGCCAAUACUGACGCUCAUGCACGAAAGCGUGGGGAGCAAACAGGAUUAGAUACCCUGGUAGUCCACGCCCUAAACGAUGUCAACUAGUUGUUGGGGAUUCAUUUCCUUAGUAACGUAGCUAACGCGUGAAGUUGACCGCCUGGGGAGUACGGUCGCAAGAUUAAAACUCAAAGGAAUUGACGGGU
RNAcentral lists this ribosomal RNA (570 nucleotides) under uncultured bacterium. RNAcentral's name for it is "partial 16S ribosomal RNA". It matches the Rfam family "Bacterial small subunit ribosomal RNA", at positions 355 to 918 of the family's 1533-position model. The record is from RNAcentral.